CUCGUGGAAAGAAGAUGGUGGAGAAGUUUUGUGAAUCGAAUACAUAUGGUUUAUCAUAGUCAAUCCUACCUUAAUUUGAAGGUAAUAUGCUGUAUUUAAUAUCAGUAUUUGUAGUAGAAUACUUAAAUUGCUAAUAGAGGUGAAUUUUUGAGAGAUCGAGCUAGAAUUUAGUGCGAUAUUUCGGCUUAAAGUUUGUACUUUGCGAGCUGUUCUUCGCGAUUCUUCUAUAAUUAUGUAUAUAUCAAAUUGCUUUAAUCUUUACUAAUAAAUAUCCUUGUAAAACCGAUAAAGCUAGAAUAUUAAAAUGUUCAUUUGGGGGUAUUUUGAGCCACGCAGACUACACCUUUUGCAGCAAAAAUGACGCAUACCAGUUUUCUGCGUUAACCAAUCGUUAACUAGACAAUUUUUUUCUCAAACAAAAAUAUGUACAUCCAAUGCAACUGCCAGCUUUCAGGGAAGGGUCAUAUAUACGUUUAUGCCAAAACGACAUGUACGUUCUUUAUAGUUUAUAUAUAAUAUUUCAGGAAAGAGAAAUCAUGCCUAUAAACUUCCCUCCCUCCCAAGCAUCAUAUUGAUGUUUUUGGCAGAAACAUGUAUCUGACCCUCACCUUUAUAUUUUACCCUGUACCUAAUAAUAAUAAUAAAAUCUUUAUUUAAACUGAUAAAAAAGACCAUUCAGUCAAUCACAUAGAUAGGCUUGUGAUCUGAAUCGGUGGUCAGUGUAAAAACUACCACAUUCUCACAUAUUUUUUUUUAAUUUGACAGAUGUUGUGCAUUCGAUUACUUUGUUGAUUAUGAAAAGUGAAUUCAUUUCAGAAACAUAAAUGAAAGGUAUACAAUUUUUCAUAUGUAAUUUGGCCCCUCCGUAUCAUUAAAGAUCUGUAAAGUUUGUAAAUAUGUAAAAAACGCUUUGUUUACAUUUUGAACUCAGUGCUACAGUUCUAAAAUAUGAUUAGAUAUAUAUUAUACUGAAUUUUUAACACUCUUCUGGUUUGCUAUGCUUGUAAAUGAACAGACUGUAGAUUCAAUUCAAGAAAGUUUGAACGGUUCAAAAUAUUAAUAACAUUCCAAUGGUCCGGUCUCGACCAUUGGAAUGUAGGCCUGUGCAGAGCGUAUGUGCAGAAUGGACUUUACGGCAUCUUUAAAGUGUAUUAGCAACAAAAAUCUCUUAUAUAAUAAAAGUUUCUUUCAUUUGAAAAAACUUGUCAAAUGGUAAUGGAGCAUAUAUUACAAAUCUUUCCGUAUCUUUCUUUUGUUUCUGAGAUAUUUCAAUGUGUUUGAUAUGCAAAUAAUUAUGAUGUCACAAGCUCAGGGUAGAGAAUUUUAAAACAUUAAAAUAUCAGAUGCUUGUGAUGUUACUCUGAGUGUAUAUCCACACCGGGCAAGCUUGAAAGUAUGCCUGACCACGGUGGGAAUCGAACCUAACCUACGACCCAACGACCUAAAAACCAACACAGAAAAAUCAUUAAAAUAUCAGAUAAAUCCAGUUCAUUGCUCAGCAUGCCAUGUUAGUGUCAUGAAGAGUUGUCAUAUACACAAUGUCAAGUAAAUAUUAGAAACAAUUUGCAGAAUGUAGCUGAUAUUUAAUGUUUUAAAAUUUUGUACCCAGCUAAUGUGAUGUCAUAAAUUGCAUAUCAAACACAUUGAAAUAUUUCAAUAACGAAGAAAGAUAUGACAGAUUUGUACCAUUUCACAAGCUCUUUCGAAAUAUUACUAUUUAGUAUUUAGAAUUUUUUUAUGCUCAUACCCAUUAAAGGUUAUGAGCAUCAUGUUCCGUUUUUUUUAAUCAAGGCCAUGCAGCAAAGGUUGCAUGAUUUAUAAAACUUUUAAUUGAAAAAGUGAUGAAUCUUUUCAAAAUUACUUCUGUGCAUGCCCACAUUGCAUCAAAACCCAUCAUUUAAAAUGUUGACUGCUGUUCCAUUAAUUUUGUGUCUCAAUACUUUUUUCAAUUCUCCUAGAUAUAUGUUGGAUGGAUGUUGGCUGAAGUUGUAUGGAUCAUGAAAGUAUAUGAAAGGUCUUUACAUUUUAAUAUCUUGUUUAAGUAUGAAAUGCUUUGAACAUUGUAUGUUUGCCCGUGGUCAGUGGCUUUGUUUAUUGUUAUAUUUUUUCUAAAUCCUGGCAGAUUUAUUGCAAAAAUAUUAUUACUAUCUUUAUAGUCAAAUUGACACAAAAGACAACAAACAUAAUAGAAACAUAAAAAAUAUUUUCUGUCACUCUUUCAGCCAGUAUAAGUUUGGAAAUUGCAGUUUCAUUGUUGCUGGAUUGGUUGAUUAAGUUUUGUGUUGCCACUCAUCACAGAAUGCCUCAAAUUUUCAAAGCAUUUCUGUUUCAGGAAAAGCCAAAAAAUGAUGAAUUGUUUGUGUUUUAAAAAGUUAAGAUAUUGCCUAUAAAAUAUGAAUCAGUAUGGAAUAUAUUUCUGUUUCCUGUUUGGAUCAACAGUUCAUAAAACACAAGAAAAGAUCUAUCUGAG
Molecule: non-coding RNA, 2470 nt
Organism: Paramuricea clavata
Lineage: Eukaryota; Metazoa; Cnidaria; Anthozoa; Malacalcyonacea; Plexauridae
Source: the annotation of a GenBank genome assembly